This is a non-coding RNA of Podarcis lilfordi (Lilford's wall lizard), 92 nucleotides long. The record is from the annotation of a GenBank genome assembly. NCBI's taxonomy places the organism in Eukaryota, Metazoa, Chordata, Lepidosauria, Squamata, Lacertidae.
GCCCCUUUGCAUGUAAGGGAUGUACUCUUACAUUUUGGUAGAGCAUGGGACUCUCAAUCUUAGGGUUGUGGGUUCGAGCCCCAUGUUGGGCA